This 267-nucleotide ribosomal RNA is filed under the name uncultured Lachnospiraceae bacterium. Its description in RNAcentral is "partial 16S ribosomal RNA". It matches the Rfam family "Bacterial small subunit ribosomal RNA", at positions 74 to 339 of the family's 1533-position model. The record is from RNAcentral. Lineage: Bacteria; Bacillati; Bacillota; Clostridia; Lachnospirales; Lachnospiraceae.
UUCGUCCAAGUGAAGCAGAGGACAGUGGCGGACGGGUGAGUAACGCGUGAGGAACCUGCCUUUCAAGGGGGACAACAGUUGGAAACGACUGCUAAUACCGCAUAAGCGCACAGCUUCGCAUGAAGCAGUGUGAAAAACUCCGGUGGUACAAGAUGGACCCGCGUCUGAUUAGCUGGUUGGUGAGGUAACGGCCCACCAAGGCGACGAUCAGUAGCCGACCUGAGAGGGUGAUCGGCCACAUUGGAACUGAGACACGGUCCAAACUCC